RNAcentral lists this ribosomal RNA (253 nucleotides) under uncultured bacterium. RNAcentral's name for it is "partial 16S ribosomal RNA". It matches the Rfam family "Bacterial small subunit ribosomal RNA", at positions 524 to 776 of the family's 1533-position model. The record is from RNAcentral.
UACGUAGGGGGCAAGCGUUGUCCGGAAUCAUUGGGCGUAAAGCGCGUGUAGGCGGCUCGGUAAGUCUGCUGUGAAAGUCCAGGGCUCAACCCUGGGAUGCCGGUGGAUACUGUCGAGCUCGAGUCCGGAAGAGGCGAGUGGAAUUCCUGGUGUAGCGGUGAAAUGCGCAGAUAUCAGGAGGAACACCAAUGGCGAAGGCGGGUUGCUGGGCUGACACUGACGCUGAACUGCGAAAGCUAGGGGAGCGAACGGG